This 26-nucleotide non-coding RNA is filed under the name Mus musculus (house mouse). The record is from RNAcentral. Lineage: Eukaryota; Metazoa; Chordata; Mammalia; Rodentia; Muridae.
UACUUUCGUGGCCUCUGGGAGUGUGU